GCAAAUAAUGACUAGACAAAACUAAAUUAAAGAUAUCUUGAAUUGUAAUUUUGACUAGUCAAAAUUCCUUUUAAGAUAUCUUUAAACGAAUAAGAGAUAUCUUAAAUUAUUCAGCUUUUCCAUUUAAGAUAUCUUAAAUUGGCAUUCUGACUAGUCAGAAUGACAUUAUUGAUAUCUUGAAUUAGUAUUCUGUCUAGUCAAAACGUCAUAAAUUUACGUAGCAUUUUGGCGGACAGUGCGUAAGACAUUCUAGCUUUAGGCUACUUGAUUGGGCUAUUCAGUGGUCAGCAAUGUCAGAUCAGUCCAGCUCAAAUACUCGUGUUUUUAACACAAUAUUCAGCGCUGCAGCUCGUGCUCGACAUGAAUUAMGAAAUACCGAUWAUUUWUUAUCUGCAACAAGAAGACUUUUUCGACGUCAAGUGCAGCGAAGUCAAGGUAAGUGGAUGUUCAGAUGUCGGUUCAUAUAACUGUAGCUUUCCAGGUAGACUACGUUAGCUUCAUGCUAGUGGAAUAAAGAAAUAUUAAUUAGGAAACUAUAAGUAGCCUAUUUAGUUGGCACUGGAGUUGUCUUCCGCCUUAUAAAAUAUGACUUAGAAUAUCACUUAGCAUCUGGUGCAUCUAUGUUGUGAUUCUGUUGUGUUCAUUGCAGGCUCAGCUGGGAGGCGGCCAAGCCCUGUGUGGAAGACAAAUAUUUUCUUGCUUUCUGGUCCUAAUAUUGACAUUCUCCCUUCUCCCUCGGAUGUAGAAAGACUGAAGAACCAUGGAUUAGGCAACCCUGUGCAUGAGGGGACAGGAACCAGGAGCUCCAAAAUUAACCUGAAUUGGAGCUUGUCUGAACUGAAUAACUUUGUGUGUCAAAGUUACCCACACAUCAGCCUAAAUCUGGUUGGCUUUGAGUUGGCAAGAGCUGGAAAAGGACGAAAGGU
Poecilia reticulata (guppy) is the source of this 926-nucleotide non-coding RNA. The record is from RefSeq and is a predicted model, not a curated record. Lineage: Eukaryota; Metazoa; Chordata; Actinopteri; Cyprinodontiformes; Poeciliidae.